RNAcentral lists this ribosomal RNA (492 nucleotides) under uncultured bacterium. RNAcentral's name for it is "partial 16S ribosomal RNA". It matches the Rfam family "Bacterial small subunit ribosomal RNA", at positions 29 to 507 of the family's 1533-position model. The record is from RNAcentral.
AGUGAACGCUGGCGGUAGGCCUAACACAUGCAAGUCGAACGGCAGCACAGUAAGAGCUUGCUCUUACGGGUGGCGAGUGGCGGACGGGUGAGGAAUACAUCGGAAUCUACUUUUUCGUGGGGGAUAACGUAGGGAAACUUACGCUAAUACCGCAUACGACCUACGGGUGAAAGCAGGGGAUCUUCGGACCUUGCGCGAUUGAAUGAGCCGAUGUCGGAUUAGCUAGUUGGCGGGGUAAAGGCCCACCAAGGCGACGAUCCGUAGCUGGUCUGGGAGGGUGAUCAGCCACACUGGAACUGAGACACGGUCCAGACUCCUACGGGAGGCAGCAGUGGGGAAUAUUGGACAAUGGGCGCAAGCCUGAUCCAGCCAUACCGCGUGGGUGAAGAAGGCCUUCGGGUUGUAAAGCCCUUUUGUUGGGAAAGAAAAGCAGCAGGUUAAUACCCCGCUGUUCUGACGGUACCCAAAGAAUAAGCACCGGCUAACUUCGUG